AGGAUGAACGCUGGCGGCGUGCCUAACACAUGCAAGUCGAACGUGAAGCCAUAGAUGAUUACUUCGGUUUGAUUUUUUGGUGGAAAGUGGCGAACGGGUGAGUAACACGUGGGUAAUCUGCCUCGAAGUGGGGGAUAACUAUUGGAAACGAUAGCUAAUACCGCAUAGUCUUUUUUACAUGGGAAUGUAGAAGAGUAAAGCUCCGGCGCUUCGAGAGGAGCCUGCGUCCAAUUAGCUAGUUGGUGGGGUAAAGGCCCACCAAGGCGACGAUUGGUAGCUGGUCUGAGAGGACGAUCAGUCACACGGGAACUGAGACACGGUCCCGACUCCUACGGGGGGCAGCAGUGAGGAAUAUUGCACAAUGGGGGAAACCCUGAUGCAGCAACGCCGCGUGGAGGAUGAAGGCUUCGGUCGUAAACUCCUUUUCUGGGGGAAGAGAACGGACGGUACCCCAGGAAUAAGUCACGGCUAACUACGUGCCAGCAGCCGCGGUAAUACGUAGGUGGCGAGCGUUAUCCGGAAUUACUGGGCGUAAAGCGCGCGCAGGCGGUUAGAUAAGUUUGGCGUGAAAGCUCCCGGCUUAACUGGGAGAGGUCGUUGAAAACUGUUUAACUUGAGGCAAUGAGAGGGGUACGGAAUUCCAGGUGUAGUGGUGGAAUGCGUAGAUAUCUGGAGGAACACCAGUGGCGAAAGCGGUACCCUGGCAUUGGCCUGACGCUCAUGUGCGAAAGCGUGGGGAGCGAACGGGAUUAGAUACCCCGGUAGUCCACGCUGUAAACGAUGAAUACUAGGUGUGGGUGGCGUCAAA
RNAcentral lists this ribosomal RNA (808 nucleotides) under uncultured bacterium. RNAcentral describes it as "bacterial SSU rRNA". It matches the Rfam family "Bacterial small subunit ribosomal RNA", at positions 26 to 836 of the family's 1533-position model. The record is from RNAcentral.